CGCACAUUGCGUCCCUCGGCAUUCCGGGGGGCAUGCCUGUUCGAGCGUCAUUACACCCCUCAAGCGUAGCUUGGUAUUGGAUAUCCGCAGGCCUUUUUACACAGGGCUUGCAGGUCCGAAAAACAGUGGCGGUUCCCGAGGAUUUCGCGCGUAGUAAAUAUUAUCCCGCGCUGGAAAAAAUCGGUGGGCUUGCCAAAACCCUCCAUAAUCUCCAUGAUUGACCUCGGAUCAGGUAGGGAUACCCGCUGAACUUAA
RNAcentral lists this unclassified non-coding RNA (255 nucleotides) under Cladonia subsquamosa. RNAcentral's name for it is "partial contains 5.8S ribosomal RNA, internal transcribed spacer 2, and large subunit ribosomal RNA". The record is from RNAcentral. Lineage: Eukaryota; Fungi; Ascomycota; Lecanoromycetes; Lecanorales; Cladoniaceae.